AAAAAUCAAAGAAAAAUCACAUAAAAAAACCAAAAGAAUAAAUGAUUACAAAAAGCAAACACCAACCACAAUCAGACAGAAAGAAAUCUAGCGACAAGACACAUGUAAAACCCAUAAAGUGCCACAAUUUCCAUCCACGGCCUAGAAAUCCAAAAACAAAAACCCAACGUAUACAACCAACGGUCGAUCCUAGGUUUGCCAACAUUCUCCACCUCUACAAACUAUCUUCAUCCAUCACCAUUUCAUCACCAAACCAAACCCAAAGCCAACAUAAACUCAAAAUAAGACUAAAGCUACAUCACAACAACCAUCAAUAGUCCAAGCACCAACCCGAGAUCUACAUGGCAAUAAAGAAAAAGUUUAGCACAAGAAAAUAAAAAAAGAGAGAACUUAUCUCCCUUAGGUUUCAGAUCCAAGGUGUUUUAGAAAGAUUUAAAUCUUCAAGUUUUAUGAAAAAGUAGCCAAUAAAAAGAGGAAGAACAUACCUUGAAGCGAUGGCAAACGGAGUGGUGGAAGAGAUCUUAAAGGUUGAACAUGCGACUUUCAAACUCAGAUCCAUACGACUCUAGUGAGUUUCUGAAGGAACUAAGUAGAUCACGUAAAAGUGGAGACUUAAAAGAGCCUUUAGGCAAAAUUUAGGCCUCAAUAGCGAUUAGUUGACAAUGGUAGACUACAACAUAUGGCAACGUCAACACCGAAAUCUGGAAACCCUUGAACUUUCCUAUUGUGUUCUUUUGAUUUUAGUGAGAGAAGUAGAGAAGAAAUUCU
RNAcentral lists this long non-coding RNA (768 nucleotides) under Durio zibethinus. RNAcentral describes it as "long non-coding RNA (DZIB_LNC000557)". Lineage: Eukaryota; Viridiplantae; Streptophyta; Magnoliopsida; Malvales; Malvaceae. The record is from RNAcentral.